Molecule: long non-coding RNA, 1472 nt
Organism: Cyprinus carpio (common carp)
Lineage: Eukaryota; Metazoa; Chordata; Actinopteri; Cypriniformes; Cyprinidae
Source: Ensembl
GUCUCGAUCUUGCUGCAAGAGGACACUACGAAGUUGACGGAGAUUCUGCCGAGGUGCAGUCACCGGACUCAAGUGUUCGAUCCACUGCUGGAUCCGGGUCUGUGUGCUUUGCAUUUCAGCGACCCAGUGUGUGGCCCCGGGCCAGUGUGUCAAAACCUUUUCAACGGAAUGUUUUUCUUGCUGAUCUGUGAAGACCCCAGAAGACUGUAGCGAUCCGUUUUCAUGAACAUGAGGCAUCAGUUCCUGCUAUCUUGGCAAAAGUCCAAGAUGCUAUUGGAUCAGAAGAUGGUAUGAUACUGACUGAUGGCCAGGGGAAUGAAAUUCUCCAUACAGAGGGAACAAAAGGAUCAGCUUACUGGAAACAAAAUUCUAGGAAGGUUUUUGCUGUGCCUGAACAACAGUUCUUGGAUAUGAGAUCCAAAAGGAGAAGAUUAAGCCAACGGGAUGAUGACAGCCAGCUACCAGAGGUCUUAGAAAGAACUGAAGAGGUGGUGUUGGCAUCCCAAAAACUGCCAGAGGUUGCACAGGCCAUCAGAGGCUUAUCUGAGCUGACGCUGGCACGCAGACGUUUUAUUACAUUCACGGACGAAGAACGUGCAGCUAUUAAAAAUGCAUUUGCUUGCAUACUUUGCAAAGGUUUGUUAACAAGAUAAUUUAGUCUCUAUAAGAUUUGUUGAUAGCCAGGAUAGUAUUUUGUGAAUUAAACUGUAAUACUUUCCUCUCUUCUCUCUGGAUUAAGAUCCUAGAAAUAUGAUGAAAAAACUAACAAGCAAUUUUCUUUAUUUUAAAUUUCUAGGGCCCAUGAAUGAUCCUGUUUUUGCAGUUUGCUGUCAGAGUCUCAUUGCAUGCAAAGUGUGCUUUGAGCAGUGGCAGUGAAAUGCCAACACCUGUGUGAAAUGCAGAGGAGACAACUCAAGGGAAAACACCUACAGAGUCCCAGGAAUUGAUGGUGCAUUGUCUGCUUUUGGUGAUCUUAUCAAAGAUUAAAUACAGUGGGAAAGAAAAGCUGUAUACCUGUUACAAGUGUCACACGUUAAGAAGUUUCAUGGCACUACUACGGCAGCUCUUUAUUAGUUACUGGUGUUUGUUACACGUUAAGAGUAAAUAUACUCUUGAAUAUACAGUAAAAAAAGUUAUUACUGUUCAGUUAUUGACUUAAAAGUGAGAAGCACUACAGGCAGCACUUUUUCUGCUUUAAUCAGAGUAAUUAUAUACAUUAUAUACAAUGUAAGUUAUAUACCAAAUAUCACUGUUUAAGUGUCAAGUUCAACUUUUGAAGUAAAAUGCAGCACUGGAUAACACUUUAUUAAAGCUUUAAUGUGACAGUUUUAUACCUCAAAUUACAGCAUUGUUUUAAUACAAUUGAUAAUGCCUAUGUUUAAAAGACUUGCUGUUUAUUUUUGUACUUUGUACAAUUAUUGUACACAGAAAUAUGUAAUAAAUGUUAGUUUUAUGAUGAAUGUCUUGUUCCU